ACUCCUAUAAUUUAAAGGUAGAAUAUUGGUCCUCUAAACCAAUCGUCUGAGUUCGAUUCUCAGUGGGAGUA
RNAcentral lists this transfer RNA (71 nucleotides) under Mimivirus LCMiAC01. Its description in RNAcentral is "tRNA-Arg". It matches the Rfam family "tRNA". From Rfam's summary of the family: Transfer RNA (tRNA) molecules are approximately 80 nucleotides in length. Lineage: Varidnaviria; Bamfordvirae; Nucleocytoviricota; Megaviricetes; Imitervirales; Mimiviridae. The record is from RNAcentral.